GCUCACUUCUCUUCCUGUCAGC
Molecule: microRNA, 22 nt
Filed under: Corchorus capsularis
Lineage: Eukaryota; Viridiplantae; Streptophyta; Magnoliopsida; Malvales; Malvaceae
Description: sRNA CCACVL1_23402
Source: RNAcentral